RNAcentral lists this small nucleolar RNA (52 nucleotides) under Brugia malayi. RNAcentral's name for it is "snoRNA Bm16771". Lineage: Eukaryota; Metazoa; Nematoda; Chromadorea; Rhabditida; Onchocercidae. The record is from RNAcentral.
GACAAUACUAAUGAAAUAUGCUAAUAAAUAAACAAAUUACAACUUCAUCACU